RNAcentral lists this long non-coding RNA (642 nucleotides) under Bos taurus (domestic cattle). Its description in RNAcentral is "long non-coding RNA NONBTAT000797". The record is from RNAcentral. Lineage: Eukaryota; Metazoa; Chordata; Mammalia; Artiodactyla; Bovidae.
ACAUGUUUACUGUUGCCUGAAGCCAUACUCGAAGCUCAAUGACUUUUCAGUGCUGAAAAAGGCAAAUGGAACCAUCUUAGAGUUUAUUUUGAUUCCUUUGCUCUAGUGUUACUUGAAUGCAAUGUAUCUAAAAGAUUUAGGUCUGAAAUAUGUUAAGACUCCCUAUUUCGUGAUGAGUCCAAAGCCUAACAUUGGAAGUGAGGGGGCAAUAAUGUCACAGUGCGUACGUCUUGCUGGGAUACAGCACACAAGACUAGGAAUUGACUUAAGAAUGAAAGGCUGUCUUCAUUUAUCUGUUAAGCUAGAUCCUAAAGCACCUCAUCUACUCGUAAACUUUCUUUAUGGACAAAAUAGGAAUGUUUACUUUCCUCUCAGUUAGUAUGCAAGUCUAUUUGCAGCAUUCUAGCAAAGGAAGAGUACAAGUCAUUUUCUGUGCUUAUAAAUUGUUCAUUACCAUGCUCUCUUAUGGCCAAUUCAUGGCUCCAUCUGCAACGCCACAAAUCUCUUUGCCCAGAUAAGCUUGGUGGAGUAAAUAUGAGGUGCUAAAGAAGAUGAGCUCAGGAUUAAGGGGAAAAAAAAUUAUAUCUCACAUGAAAUUCCCAUCUAGGAUUUUAAAAUUUCUAACUCCUUACUUGUAUUGAU